UUCUUGGUUUCUUUAAUGGGUUUCUUUUAA
Molecule: non-coding RNA, 30 nt
Filed under: Mus musculus (house mouse)
Lineage: Eukaryota; Metazoa; Chordata; Mammalia; Rodentia; Muridae
Source: RNAcentral